This 1362-nucleotide long non-coding RNA is filed under the name Podarcis muralis (Common wall lizard). RNAcentral describes it as "lncRNA (ENSPMRG00000008660.1)". Lineage: Eukaryota; Metazoa; Chordata; Lepidosauria; Squamata; Lacertidae. The record is from RNAcentral.
AUGUCCCCGUCCCUCAGGGAAGCUGGCUGUCCUUGGGGGCAGCCCCUCGUCGCCGCUGUUCUCCUGGGUGCCCACUGCACCCUGCUGGGCAUGGGGCAGCUCCCCCCAGGGCUCUGUGGAAGCAGAAGUCGCUGUUUCCUUGCUACCUUCCCAAGCUCUUUCCUUCGCAGGACUUGGGAGCAGACCCCCAGCGCCAGCAGAUGCCCAGACAAGCGGGCAGAGAGGAGGCAGAAGAGGACGAGGAGGAGGGGACUGCUCUGCACCAAGUUAACGCAUCAUCCCAGCAAAGGGAUGGUGCUCAGUCAGUUCCUCCGCCAGCCCGAGGAGUUUCCGCUCUGCAGCCCAAGCGCCAGGCGGGGAGCGGAGGCAGAGCCAGGGGAGCGGGGAAAGUUGCAGAGGCCCCCGUCGAGCCGCCGAUCUCCGGAAAAGUGCAUUGCGCCUGGUUUUUUUCGGGUCGUUUUCCUAGGAGUGGGUGGCGGGCGCAAGCGAAGCAGCCGAGGCUCCCUCCUUCUGCGCGCCCGGCUCAGCCUGUGUCCCCCACCCGCCUGCCUGCCUUGCGCCGAUGCGGGCUGGUCCAGGAGGCUCUGGCCGGAGGAAGAGGAAAGAGACGAGGCCGGAUGCGGGGAUCCGCUAGGGCGAUGCGAACGGCUCGCUGGAGAAGAUCCCUCCGACUUGCGUGCUCCCGCCGCGGCUGCCUAUCGCUCCCAAGCGCCCGCCAGGCACUCGAUCCAGUCGGAGGGGAGGAAGAAGAGGAGAAGGAGGAGGAGGAAGAAGAAGAACCGGCCUCCCUGCAGCAGCAGCCGGCGGCGGCGAGGUCUCUGCAAUGCUCAGGCGGCGGCGCUCCAUCGCCAGCCCAUGGAGACUUUGGGAGCGAAGCACUUCUUUGCCCGCCAGGCAGAGAGCGCGACGCAAUCGGAGCCCAGAGGCACCAGCAGCGGCGGAGGCGGCAAUAGCAGCGGCGCUUCAGUAGCGACGCCCGCCCGGCUCGCUUCCCCCUCUGCUGAAUGGCCGAGGAGCUGCAGCCUCCAACGCAGCCGCCCGCGCCCGGCCCCCGCGGCCCUCUCCGGGCCUCCUCAUUGGAUGCCGCGCCUGCCACUCUUGCCGCUGACUCCCCUGCCCCUCCCCUCCCUUCCCCGGGUCAGGGAUGCUGCUGGGUGUUUAAGGCUCUGCCGCGGAGCCUGCCUGCCUGGCCGGCCGGCUGGCAAGGAAGGGCAGCUCUGCUCAGCUGGCUGCCCGCAUCGCCACAGGGCUCCCCCUCCCGCCCGCGUGCGCGUGCUCCCACUCCAGUCCGCCCCGCCGCACAAUCUCCUCCGUUGGGAGAUGGGCGCUGGGGAAAGUUUUCCCAAAGUGCAGCCAGCCUAG